This 232-nucleotide ribosomal RNA is filed under the name uncultured bacterium. RNAcentral describes it as "partial 16S ribosomal RNA". It matches the Rfam family "Bacterial small subunit ribosomal RNA", at positions 99 to 334 of the family's 1533-position model. The record is from RNAcentral.
CGGACGGGUGAGUAAUGUCUGGGAAACUGCCCGAUGGAGGGGGAUAACUACUGGAAACGGUAGCUAAUACCGCAUAACGUCGCAAGACCAAAGAAGGGGGCGUUCGGGCCUCUUGCCAUCGGAUGUGCCCAUAUGGGAUUAGCUUGUAGGUAAGGUAACGGCUUACCUAGGCGACGAUCCCUAGCUGGUCUGAGAGGAUGAUCAGCCACACUGGGACUGAGACACGGCCCAG